Molecule: ribosomal RNA, 468 nt
Filed under: uncultured bacterium
Lineage: Bacteria
Description: partial 16S ribosomal RNA
Rfam family: Bacterial small subunit ribosomal RNA
Source: RNAcentral
GACGAACGCUGGCGGCGUGCUUAACACAUGCAAGUCGAACGGAAAGGCCCUGCUUUUGUGGGGUGCUCGAGUGGCGAACGGGUGAGUAACACGUGAGUAACCUGCCCUUGACUUUGGGAUAACUUCAGGAAACUGGGGCUAAUACCGGAUAGGAGCUCCUGCUGCAUGGUGGGGGUUGGAAAGUUUCGGCGGUUGGGGAUGGACUCGCGGCUUAUCAGCUUGUUGGUGGGGUAGUGGCUUACCAAGGCUUUGACGGGUAGCCGGCCUGAGAGGGUGACCGGCGACAAUGGGACUGAGAUACGGCCCAGACUCCUACGGUAGGCAGCAGUGGGGAAUAUUGCACAAUGGGCGGAAGCCUGAUGCAGCAACGCCGCGUGCGGGAUGACGGCCUUCGGGUUGUAAACCGCUUUCGACUGUGACGAAGCGUGAGUGACGGUAAUGGGUAAAGAAGCACCGGCUAACUACGUG